This 498-nucleotide ribosomal RNA is filed under the name uncultured bacterium. RNAcentral describes it as "partial 16S ribosomal RNA". It matches the Rfam family "Bacterial small subunit ribosomal RNA", at positions 30 to 523 of the family's 1533-position model. The record is from RNAcentral.
AUUGUACGCUGGCGGCAUGCCUUACACAUGCAAGUCGAACGGUAACAGGUCUUCGGAUGCUGACGAGUGGCGAACGGGUGAGUAAUACAUCGGAACGUGCCUAGUAGUGGGGGAUAACUACUCGAAAGAGUGGCUAAUACCGCAUGAGAUCUACGGAUGAAAGCAGGGGAUCGCAAGACCUUGUGCUACUAGAGCGGCCGAUGGCAGAUUAGGUAGUUGGUGGGAUAAAAGCUUACCAAGCCGACGAUCUGUAGCUGGUCUGAGAGGACGAUCAGCCACACUGGGACUGAGACACGGCCCAGAAUCCUACGGGAGGCAGCAGUGGGGAAUUUUGAACAAUGGGCGCAAGCCUGAUCCAGCAAUGCCGCGUGCAGGAUGAAGGCCUUCGGGUUGUAAACUGCUUUUGUACGGAACGAAAAGCCCCAGGUUAAUACCCUGGGGUCAUGACGGUACCGUAAGAAUAAGCACCGGCUAACUACGUGCCAGCCGCCGCCGUAA